This 63-nucleotide transfer RNA is filed under the name Heterocephalus glaber (naked mole-rat). It matches the Rfam family "tRNA". Rfam says of the family: Transfer RNA (tRNA) molecules are approximately 80 nucleotides in length. Their secondary structure includes four short double-helical elements and three loops (D, anti-codon, and T loops). The record is from Rfam by way of RNAcentral. Lineage: Eukaryota; Metazoa; Chordata; Mammalia; Rodentia; Bathyergidae.
GGUGUAGCACAGUGGUAGUGUGUCUUUAUCAUGCAGUAUGCUCUGGGUUCAAUUCCCAGCACC